GAUGAACGCUGGCGGCGUGCCUAAUACAUGCAAGUCGAGCGAACAGACGAGGAGCUUGCUCCUCUGACGUUAGCGGCGGACGGGUGAGUAACACGUGGAUAACCUACCUAUAAGACUGGGAUAACUUCGGGAAACCGGAGCUAAUACCGGAUAAUAUAUUGAACCGCAUGGUUCAAUAGUGAAAGACGGUUUUGCUGUCUCUUAUAGAUGGAUCCGCGCCGCAUUAGCUAGUUGGUAAGGUAACGGCUUACCAAGGCAACGAUGCGUAGCCGACCUGAGAGGGUGAUCGGCCACACUGGAACUGAGACACGGUCCAGACUCCUACGGGAGGCAGCAGUGGGGAAUCUUCCGCAAUGGGCGAAAGCCUGACGGAGCAACGCCGCGUGAGUGAUGAAGGUCUUCGGAUCGUAAAACUCUGUUAUUAGGGAAGAACAAAUGUGUAAGUAACUAUGCACGUCUUGACGGUACCUAAUCAGAAAGCCACGGCUAACUACGUG
This 497-nucleotide ribosomal RNA is filed under the name uncultured bacterium. RNAcentral's name for it is "partial 16S ribosomal RNA". It matches the Rfam family "Bacterial small subunit ribosomal RNA", at positions 28 to 507 of the family's 1533-position model. The record is from RNAcentral.